This 472-nucleotide ribosomal RNA is filed under the name uncultured bacterium. RNAcentral's name for it is "bacterial SSU rRNA". It matches the Rfam family "Bacterial small subunit ribosomal RNA", at positions 328 to 793 of the family's 1533-position model. The record is from RNAcentral.
CUCUGUGACUCCUACGGGAGGCAGCAGUGGGGAAUAUUGCACAAUGGGGGAAACCCUGAUGCAGCCAUGCCGCGUGUGUGAAGAAGGCCUUCGGGUUGUAAAGCACUUUCAGUAGGGAGGAAGGUAGUGUAGUUAACACCUGCAUUAUUUGACGUUACCUACAGAAGAAGCACCGGCUAACUCCGUGCCAGCAGCCGCGGUAAUACGGAGGGUGCGAGCGUUAAUCGGAAUUACUGGGCGUAAAGCGCAUGCAGGCGGCUUGUUAAGUCAGAUGUGAAAGCCCGGGGCUUAACCUCGGAAUUGCAUUUGAAACUGGCAGGCUAGAGUCUUGUAGAGGGGGUAGAAUUUCAGGUGUAGCGGUGAAAUGCGUAGAGAUCUGAAGGAAUACCAGUGGCGAAGGCGGCCCCCUGGACAAAGACUGACGCUCAGAUGCGAAAGCGUGGGGAGCAAACAGGAUUAGAUACCCUGGUAG